CUUGCUUUCUUUGCCGGCGACCGGCGCACGGGUGAGUAACACGUAUCCAACCUGCCCUUUACUCGGGGAUAGCCUUUCGAAAGAAAGAUUAAUACCCGAUAGUAUAAUGAUUCCGCAUGGUUUCAUUAUUAAAGGAUUCCGGUAAAGGAUGGGGAUGCGUUCCAUUAGGUUGUUGGUGAGGUAACGGCUCACCAAGCCUUCGAUGGAUAGGGGUUCUGAGAGGAAGGUCCCCCACAUUGGAACUGAGACACGGUCCAA
This 258-nucleotide ribosomal RNA is filed under the name uncultured bacterium. Its description in RNAcentral is "partial 16S ribosomal RNA". It matches the Rfam family "Bacterial small subunit ribosomal RNA", at positions 75 to 334 of the family's 1533-position model. The record is from RNAcentral.